This 469-nucleotide ribosomal RNA is filed under the name uncultured bacterium. Its description in RNAcentral is "partial 16S ribosomal RNA". It matches the Rfam family "Bacterial small subunit ribosomal RNA", at positions 328 to 794 of the family's 1533-position model. The record is from RNAcentral.
UGACCAGACUCCUACGGGAGGCAGCAGUGAGGAAUAUUGGUCAAUGGGCGGGAGCCUGAACCAGCCAAGUCGCGUGAGGGAAGAAGGUACUGAGUAUUGUAAACCUCUUUUGCCAGGGGACAAAGGCGGCCACGGGUGGCCGUAGGAGGGUACCUGGAGAAAAAGCAUCGGCUAACUCCGUGCCAGCAGCCGCGGUAAUACGGAGGAUGCGAGCGUUAUCCGGAUUUAUUGGGUUUAAAGGGUGCGUAGGUUGUUUUUUAAGUCAGCGGUGAAAGUUUGUGGCUCAACCAUAAAAUUGCCGUUGAAACUGGAAGACUUGAGUGUGUUUGAGGUAGGCGGAAUGCGUGGUGUAGCGGUGAAAUGCAUAGAUAUCACGCAGAACUCCGAUUGCGAAGGCAGCUUACUAAGCCAUAACUGACACUGAAGCACGAAAGCGUGGGGAUCAAACAGGAUUAGAUACCCCAGUAGU